CGGUAAAAGACAGUUAAGCAGGACUACAUAGACCAUUAGAUCUUUAGUACAGGAGUAAAAUCUAGAUACUAAAAGUUAUACCUGACAUGGUUGUUUAUGGUGCUGAGUCUGUGACAGCUUUAAGGGAAACUGGGAUUGGAUACCCCAUUAUUUUUAGUUGUAAAUAUAGUUUGAGCUUACCAGAGUACUACGAAUUAAAAAGUUUAAAACUCAAAGGGCUUGGCGGUGUUUUAGACCUCUCAGGGGAACCUGUCUCAUAAUCGACAAUCCACGUUAGACCUAACCUUCUAUGGUAAUUCAGCCUGUAUACCGUCGUCGUCAGGUAACUUCUAAAAAUACAGUAGUUAGCUUGAGAAUUUUUCAAUUAAUACGUCAGAUCAAGGUGCAGCCAAUGAGAGGGUGAGGAUGGGUUACAGUUACAAAUUUGUAAUUACGGAAGGAGACUUGAAAUUAAGUGUCUUGAAGGAGGACUUGAAAGUAAUUUUAAUUAUAUAAGUGGAAUGAAUAAGGCUCUGAAACGUG
This 522-nucleotide ribosomal RNA is filed under the name Conus frigidus. RNAcentral describes it as "partial 12S ribosomal RNA". The record is from RNAcentral. Lineage: Eukaryota; Metazoa; Mollusca; Gastropoda; Neogastropoda; Conidae.